Molecule: long non-coding RNA, 2907 nt
Organism: Monomorium pharaonis (pharaoh ant)
Lineage: Eukaryota; Metazoa; Arthropoda; Insecta; Hymenoptera; Formicidae
Exons: 7
Source: RefSeq, a predicted model, not a curated record
CACUCAAACGGAACGGCGCAUUCCAACGGGCGAUGGUGUGUAACUGUAAUCGCUUUUUCUAGUUUAUGCGACUCGAUUAGAAUAUCUUUUCUCUUUUCGCUUUUUUUUUUUUUUUCUUUUACGACGAGGGACAGGCAGCGCGCGUUCGGCGACGCGCGCGAUUUAUCACGCCCAAUUAAUUUUACGAAUCGUACGAGACAUUACCGAAGUUGUAACGAGCUCGCUCGCGACGCCAAUCCGUGUCGGAUACGCCGAAGGUUUACUCCCCCUCCCCCUCCCGACGCUCGCCGCCGAAACGAAAAUUGUCGCCGAUCGAUUUGUGAAGCGAACCGUUACGCAUCGUCGGCGCGUAAGGCGAUAGGAAAGCCAGCGUCUAUUAAACGCGCGCGCUGGUCAACGCACCCGUUAUCCUUGUUCGCCGAUUUGCAUAUUCAUAAUGCCCGCGCUACGGUAUGCCGUAAGAAUGCAGAAAAGCAAGCGACUCCGGCGACUGCAGCAGUCGCGCUUUUCUGCCUCUCGCGGCUCUAAGGGUCCCCCGAGAGACCUGUCGUAAAGGUGUGCGUAAGCCCCCCCCGCCCCUCCUCCUCCUUUCUCCCCCCCGUGUCUUGUCUUGUCUUACGCAGACGAAUCUUUCGUUCCCGAACGAGCACAUCCUGGUCCUCCGUCAACUUGAUUUUUCCCGCUGUUGCACUGAUGUAACGAUCGCGCGCGAGUCUGUCGAACCUGUUACAGUGACUCGUGGAGUUUGCGAUUUUACUAAAUUGAAUUUGAACUACAGGAAGUUUGACGUUCAACGCACAUAUGCUGCGAGGAAUCGGGACAUAUUCGGUAUUGAUCGUUUUUUUUUUUCCGGAUACGAAAAAGAUUCUCUCUCAAAUUCACACUCGCCGGAACCGUAGCUACGUAAAAAUUUGCAAGAAAAGUGACACUAGUCGAGCAAUUUGUUGAUUAGUUCUACUGACUCAGCUUGUGCUUGAUACUGCUAUAAAUAAUUAAUUUUGAAACACACACAAUUUUCUCUUUCUCGUUUGAACGAGGAUUAUUUUUGUGCGUCACUUUAUUUGAGGAUCUACAUUACGAGAUAAAACCAAAAUAAAUAAAAGCACAUACACAGUAUCGUUAGAUCUUUAAUCGAUGACAGAUGACUUAAGCUAUAGUAGUAAAUUUUUGUCCAACGAACGGUCAACGUUUCAGACUUUGACUAUUCGGCUGCUUCUACUUUCUACUAGGAAAAUUCGAUAAAAGUGACUCGGUCAGUUUUUCGACUUGAGCCCUGUCAGUUGGAACGUUUCGAAGUUUCCUCACGCUCAGCUGUUCUGCGCGUGGACACGUGCGCGCGUUAAAUUGGCGGGAGAGAGAGAGAGAGAGAGAGAGAAAGAGAGAGACGCGGCUUUACGCGUGUGCGUGCGUUCCGCACGCGUGCGUCGCAUGCACAUACACAGAUAGAUAGAUAGAUAGAUGAGAGAGAGAGAGAGAGAGAGAGAGAGAGAGUGAGUGAGAGAGAAAGAGAAUAUGUAUACGGCAGCGAGUUCCUAUCUGGCGAGCGUCGACGCAGCGCGGUGUGUGCAUGCGCGUGUACGCUCCCCCGCUCGUACGUGGCGUCUAUGUGCACCCACACACGUGGCGGCACGCGUGUGGCAGCCUCUGUGUGGGGACCUAAACGAAGGGAGGCAAGCCAGUAAGCUCGGGCGCGCCGGAGCGGCGAGAGCAGCCAUUUUACUCGAUUCCGGGUGGAAAACGUGUCGCGCGAUUCGCACACAACUUCGACGCCGUCGACGGCGACGUCCUGUAGAGCGUCGCGGCGCGCGUCACCGCGACGCGCGGGUGACGUUGACGGUAACUCCUGACCGCCCGAGGAUUACCAUCAACGACGCCGCUCUCUCGCGAGGAUACGCGGUCACCGCCACCGUCGCCGCCGCCGCUGCCGCCGCCGCAGCGUGCACGUGUAUUACGCUCGUGGCUGUCACGAAGUAGGAACCGCGAGGGGGAGAGACGCGCGCGACUGUGUGCGCGUGUGUUUCCGUCCUUGUCGCGUACACCGCGAGUUGCGAGAAAUGUAGAUCGAUUGAUACUGUUGAUUACGCUUCGAGGCAGAAUUCCGUAAUGACCACUCUCUCGAACGACGAUAAACCCUCUAGGUCGUCGUGUAUGUAUCGAUUCGCGAAGGCCGUUAAACGUACGAGAGGGACGAUACCUAAACCUGAUCACUUAUGAAAACGUAAUCGAUCGUACGUUUCCCUAAAACGUGUUUAUCAAGAUGCCCGAGGAUAUGUGUGGAAAACAAAGGAUAAACUUGGACGUUAAUCUUUUGACUGAUGUCGGAUCGGCGAGACGAAAAUUCUACUCGUAAGCGGUACCUGAAUUUUCAGUUUACGCGGUUGCGUCGGUCGCCGAUGUGCACCGCGACGACAAUACUGCUAGGCAACAUUGACCCAGAAACUCUCAAAUAGAAGGGAGAAUCGUGACGUUUUCAAGGACUCCGCUGCGAGAGCUGGCCGUAUGCAGCGAGAAAAUUUCGACAAGUUCGCCACGGGCACCGGAAGUCGCGGCGAUACGACUCGAGCAAAGGAUGUGACGUCAGCAGAAGCUCGUAGAACGAAGGUCGCAGAACGGGCGUAAGGGAGACUGAAGGAGCGUAGAUGAGUUGCACGGUCCGUGUCCUCGAACGAGCUUCCAGUUCUAUGCUGGCGAAUUUAUUCGAUUAGAAUCCAGCGUAUCUUUCGGAGAGAUCCCUCGAGAUUGAAGUGAUAUGCGAGCACCCCUUAUGUCGUGAAUUGUUACCUCAAGGCGAUUAUAUGAAACAGCACCGUUGACCAAAUCUACGUGUAAAAAAACAUUUUGUUUUUAUGGGUACGUCCUGGGCUUGCGUCGGGGUAGCUAGUGAAACGUCCCUUCGUGGCGAAAAAG